RNAcentral lists this long non-coding RNA (244 nucleotides) under Capra hircus (goat). Its description in RNAcentral is "lncRNA (ENSCHIG00010022497.1)". Lineage: Eukaryota; Metazoa; Chordata; Mammalia; Artiodactyla; Bovidae. The record is from RNAcentral.
GCCCAGGGCUCGGCCCUCGGUGCCCCGCGCCUGGAGCAGCCUCAGCGCUUGCAGGCGGGGAGGAGAGCGGCUCGGGGCCUCCAGACACAAAGAGCGGCGGCGAGACGCGGGUAGGAGCGGAGCGCACGCCCGCGCCCUUGGCCUGUCCCCGCGCGGGCGGGACCCGAAACGCCACAGACCAGGACUGCAAGGAAAACAGCAUAUGAAAAGAAGAAGGUUUCUGACAGUGGUAGAGAAGCAAACA